UACGGAGGAUCCGAGCGUUAUCCGGAUUUAUUGGGUUUAAAGGGUGCGUAGGUGGUUUGAUAAGUCAGCGGUGAAAGUUUGCAGCUUAACUGUAAAAAUGCCGUUGAAACUGUCGGACUUGAGUGUAAAUGAGGUAGGCGGAAUGCGUGGUGUAGCGGUGAAAUGCAUAGAUAUCACGCAGAACUCCGAUUGCGAAGGCAGCUUACUAAACUACUACUGACGCUCAGGCACGAAGGCGUGGGGAUCAAACAGGAUUAGAUACCCGCGUAGU
Molecule: ribosomal RNA, 271 nt
Filed under: uncultured prokaryote
Description: partial 16S ribosomal RNA
Rfam family: Bacterial small subunit ribosomal RNA
Source: RNAcentral